RNAcentral lists this ribosomal RNA (468 nucleotides) under uncultured bacterium. RNAcentral describes it as "partial 16S ribosomal RNA". It matches the Rfam family "Bacterial small subunit ribosomal RNA", at positions 28 to 507 of the family's 1533-position model. The record is from RNAcentral.
GACGAACGCUGGCGGCGUGCUUAACACAUGCAAGUCGAACGGACAGGCCCUGCUUUUGUGGGGUGCUCGAGUGGCGAACGGGUGAGUAACACGUGAGUAACCUGCCCUUGACUUUGGGAUAACUUCAGGAGACUGGGGCUAAUACCGGAUAGGAGCUCCUGCUGCAUGGUGGGGGAUGGAAAGUUUGGGCGGUUGGGGAUGGACUCGCGGCUUAUCAGCGUGUUUGUGGGGUAGUGGCUUACCAAGGCUUUGACGGGUAGCCGGCCUUAGAGGGUGACCGGCCACAUUGGGACUGAGAUACGGCCCAGACUCCUACGGGAGGCAGCAGUGGGGAAUAUUGCACAAUGGGCGGAAGCCUGAUGCAGCAACGCCGCGUGCGGGAUGACGGCCUUCGGGUUGUAAACCGCUUUCGCCUGUGACGAAGCGUGAGUGACGGUAAUGGGUAAAGAAGCACCGGCUAACUACGUG